CAGGUGGCGUCGACGACAAGCGGAGGAGGAGAGGCGACGGAGCUCACCUAGGUUGAGGUUUCGAGGACGAUUAGACCAGGUGCGUACGCGACUAUCGAAUACGACGGCUCAGGUGGCAGCGGAGGAGCAAUGGCGGCAGCGAUGACUGGAGAAAGCUAAACGCGUGAAGGAGCGGCCCA
Neltuma alba is the source of this 179-nucleotide long non-coding RNA. RefSeq lists it as uncharacterized. The transcript has 2 exons. The record is from RefSeq and is a predicted model, not a curated record. NCBI's taxonomy places the organism in Eukaryota, Viridiplantae, Streptophyta, Magnoliopsida, Fabales, Fabaceae.